CUCUCCUACGGGGGGCAGCAGUGAGGAAUACUGGUCAAUGGACGAGAGUCUGAACCAGCCAAGUAGCGUGAAGGAUGACUGCCCUAUGGGUUGUAAACUUCUUUUAUAUGGGAAUAAAAUGUUCCACGCGUGGGAUUUUGUAUGUACCAUAUGAAUAAGGAUCGGCUAACUCCGUGCCAGCAGCCGCGGUAAUACGGAGGAUCCGAGCGUUAUCCGGAUUUAUUGGGGUUAAAGGGAGCGUAGGUGGAUUGUUAAGUCAGUUGUUAAAGUUUGCGGCUCAAUCGUCAAAUUGAAGUUGAAACUGG
This 305-nucleotide ribosomal RNA is filed under the name uncultured bacterium. RNAcentral describes it as "bacterial SSU rRNA". It matches the Rfam family "Bacterial small subunit ribosomal RNA", at positions 334 to 636 of the family's 1533-position model. The record is from RNAcentral.